UACGUAGGGUGCAAGCGUUGUCCGGAAUUAUUGGGCGUAAAGAGCUCGUAGGCGGCUUGUCGCGUCGGCUGUGAAAACUCGGGGCUCAACCCCGAGCCUGCAGUCGAUACGGGCAGGCUAGAGUCCGGCAGGGGAGACUGGAAUUCCUGGUGUAGCGGUGAAAUGCGCAGAUAUCAGGAGGAACACCGGUGGCGAAGGCGGCUACCUGGACCGGUACUGACGCUGAUGCGCGAAAGCUAGGGUAGCAAACAGG
This 253-nucleotide ribosomal RNA is filed under the name uncultured bacterium. Its description in RNAcentral is "partial 16S ribosomal RNA". It matches the Rfam family "Bacterial small subunit ribosomal RNA", at positions 524 to 776 of the family's 1533-position model. The record is from RNAcentral.